RNAcentral lists this transfer RNA (72 nucleotides) under Zea mays. It matches the Rfam family "tRNA". From Rfam's summary of the family: Transfer RNA (tRNA) molecules are approximately 80 nucleotides in length. The record is from Rfam by way of RNAcentral. Lineage: Eukaryota; Viridiplantae; Streptophyta; Magnoliopsida; Poales; Poaceae.
GCUUGUCUAGCUCAGUCGGUAGAGUACAAUGCUCUUAACCUUGUGGUUGUGGGUUGAGUCCCACAGUGGGCG